Molecule: transfer RNA, 64 nt
Filed under: Aeolothrips indicus
Lineage: Eukaryota; Metazoa; Arthropoda; Insecta; Thysanoptera; Aeolothripidae
Description: tRNA-Asp
Source: RNAcentral
GAAAAGUUAGUUAAAUUAUAACAGAACUUUGUCAAGGUUCAAUUACUCCCUAGAGUACUUUUCU